GACAGAGGGUGCAAACGUUGCUCGGAAUUAUUGGGCGUAAAGGGCUCGUAGGCGGUCUGUUGCGUCGGGAGUGAAAACUUACAGCUUAACUGUGAGCGUGCUUCCGAUACGGGCAGACUUGAGGUAUUCAGGGGAGAACGGAAUUCCUGGUGUAGCGGUGAAAUGCGCAGAUAUCAGGAGGAACACCGGUGGCGAAGGCGGUUCUCUGGGAAUAUCCUGACGCUGAGGAGCGAAAGUGUGGGGAGCGAACAGG
RNAcentral lists this ribosomal RNA (253 nucleotides) under uncultured bacterium. Its description in RNAcentral is "partial 16S ribosomal RNA". It matches the Rfam family "Bacterial small subunit ribosomal RNA", at positions 524 to 776 of the family's 1533-position model. The record is from RNAcentral.